Molecule: long non-coding RNA, 215 nt
Filed under: Brassica napus (rape)
Lineage: Eukaryota; Viridiplantae; Streptophyta; Magnoliopsida; Brassicales; Brassicaceae
Description: long non-coding RNA (BNAP_LNC007631)
Source: RNAcentral
UUAUGAAUCAAACCAAAACACAUAAUCAGCCCAAUGAAAUCACAAAAAACAGAUAAAACUAAGAUAUAGACAAAACAAACUUACCAGUUCAUCGUCCAAGCGAAUCCCGGAUCAACUUUUUCACUUUCACUUUUCGAAUUCGAACACACAGGAAAUAGCUUCUCGAUCUCUCUCACCUGACUUCUGCCUCACGAACUCACCCUCUCUCGAACUCA